This 389-nucleotide ribosomal RNA is filed under the name Suessiaceae sp. RNAcentral's name for it is "partial small subunit ribosomal RNA". It matches the Rfam family "Eukaryotic small subunit ribosomal RNA", at positions 582 to 975 of the family's 1831-position model. Lineage: Eukaryota; Dinophyceae; Suessiales; Suessiaceae. The record is from RNAcentral.
AUUCCAGCUCCAAUAGCGUAUAUUAAAGUUGUUGCGGUUAAAAAGCUCGUAGUUGGAUUUCUGCCGAGGAUGACCGGUCCGCCCUCUGGGUGAGUAUCUGGCUCAGCCUUGGCAUCUUCCUGAAGAACGUAGCUGCACUUGACUGUGUGGUGCGGUAUUUAGGACAUUUACUUUGAGGAAAUUAGAGUGUUUCAAGCAAGCGCACGCCUUGAAUACAUUAGCAUGGAAUAAUAAGAUAGGACCUCGGUUCUAUUUUGUUGGUUUCUAGACCUGAAGUAAUGAUUGAUAGGGACAGUUGGGGGUGCUAGUAUUGGCCGGCCAGAGGUGAAAUUCUUGGACUCGGUCAAGACUAACUUAUGCGAAAGCAUUCACCAAGGAUGUCUUCAUCG